This 847-nucleotide long non-coding RNA is filed under the name Saimiri boliviensis boliviensis (Bolivian squirrel monkey). RNAcentral describes it as "lncRNA (ENSSBOG00000036671.1)". The record is from RNAcentral. Lineage: Eukaryota; Metazoa; Chordata; Mammalia; Primates; Cebidae.
CUCCAAGCAGUCCUCACUGAGAUCCCAGGAGGAAUGUGCAUUCGCCAGGGGAAAAUCAUUUGCUAUUGGUGAGGAGUGGCUGGAGGCGGGGGUCAGGGGAGCAGUAGUCCAUGUGCAAACUCUGGGCAAGAGGAGCAGGCUGGGUGUGGGCGCCAUGGCUCACUCCUGUAAUCUAAUCCCAUCACUUUGGGAGACCGAGGCAGGAGGAAACCUUGAGGUCAGGAGUUUGAGACCAGCCUGAGCAAUAUAGUGAGACCCCAUCUCUACAAAAGAGCAACAAUGAAAAAGACAUCUAUGAGAAAUCCAUGGGCAGAGAAAGCAUAAUAAGCAAUGGUGUAGCAGUAUAAGCACAGGCCAAGCAAGGCGGGCCUUGAGAUGAGGCCAGAUGGGGCCUGAAUCAGGGUGGGUUCAGCAUGUCCAGGAAGGUGCUGCUACUUCACAGACAGGACUCACAGCAUGUACCAUUAGAGACUGGAUCAUUAAAGCACUGGAUAGAACUCUUCAGGCUGUGGAGUGUGUAGGCCACUUCCUGAAGUUCUUAGUGAAUUGUUAUGAGAAAAAGACAAGCGUCUGUCAUCUGAAAGUUAAAAAAGAAGAAAAAUGUGUCUUGAGAAAAGAAGUCCUUUUUCUUUUGGUAGCUGAGUGCCAGACACCACCAUACUUUGCGAGGUUGGAAAAGGUGAGUUCUCUGUUACGUGAUGACGUUUGUUCCAGCAAAGACAGAGACACUGGAAACGGAACAGAAGAAGCGCUAAAAUUGGGAAGGAGCUGGAGCCCGAUUUUGACUUGUCCAAGACAGAAUUGCUCCUAUCUGGAUUAUACAAACAACUCCAGCAUAAAUCAGUAA